CAGCAGCCGCGGUAAUACGAAGGUCCCGAGCGUUGUCCGGAUUUAUUGGGCGUAAAGCGAGCGCAGGCGGUUAGAUAAGUCUGAAGUUAAAGGCUGUGGCUUAACCAUAGUACGCUUUGGAAACUGUUUAACUUGAGUGCAGAAGGGGAGAGUGGAAUUCCAUGUGUAGCGGUGAAAUGCGUAGAUAUAUGGAGGAACACCGGUGGCGAAAGCGGCUCUCUGGUCUGUAACUGACGCUGAGGCUCGAAAGCGUGGGGAGCGAACAGGAUUAGAUACCCGCGUAGUCCCUGUCUCUUAUACA
Molecule: ribosomal RNA, 301 nt
Filed under: uncultured bacterium
Lineage: Bacteria
Description: partial 16S ribosomal RNA
Rfam family: Bacterial small subunit ribosomal RNA
Source: RNAcentral